AGUUUUGCAGGAUUGCAUCCGGCUUUAUUACAACAUGCUGUGCAAAUCCAUGCAAAACUCG
This 61-nucleotide microRNA precursor is filed under the name Danio rerio (zebrafish). RNAcentral describes it as "Dre-Mir-19-P2c_pre stem-loop". It matches the Rfam family "mir-19 microRNA precursor family", at positions 11 to 69 of the family's 79-position model. Rfam says of the family: The hairpin precursors (represented here) are predicted based on base pairing and cross-species conservation -- their extents are not known. Lineage: Eukaryota; Metazoa; Chordata; Actinopteri; Cypriniformes; Danionidae. The record is from RNAcentral.